RNAcentral lists this transfer RNA (76 nucleotides) under Acidithiobacillus sp. GGI-221. Its description in RNAcentral is "tRNA-Phe". It matches the Rfam family "tRNA". From Rfam's summary of the family: Transfer RNA (tRNA) molecules are approximately 80 nucleotides in length. Their secondary structure includes four short double-helical elements and three loops (D, anti-codon, and T loops). The record is from RNAcentral. Lineage: Bacteria; Pseudomonadati; Pseudomonadota; Acidithiobacillia; Acidithiobacillales; Acidithiobacillaceae.
GCAGCGAUAGCUCAGAUGGUAGAGCACUGGUUUGAAGAGCCGGGUGUCGCAGGUUCGAUUCCUGUUCGCUGCACCA